This 264-nucleotide ribosomal RNA is filed under the name uncultured bacterium. RNAcentral describes it as "partial 16S ribosomal RNA". It matches the Rfam family "Bacterial small subunit ribosomal RNA", at positions 94 to 354 of the family's 1533-position model. The record is from RNAcentral.
UUAGGCGGACGGGUGGAGUAACGACGUGGAAAACCGUAGCCGUAUACUGGGGAGGUAACACUUAGAAUAAGUGCUAAUACCGCAUAAGCGCACAGCUUCGCAUGAAGCGGUGUGAAAAACUCUGGUGGUAUACGAUGGUUCCGCGUCUGAUUAGCUAGUUGGUGGGGUAAUGGCCUACCAAGGCAACGAUCAGUAGCCGGCCUGAGAGGGUGAACGGCCACAUUGGGACUGAGACACGGCCCAAACUCCUACGGAAGGCAGCAG